CAAGUCGCGCGAGAAAGGGCUUCGGCCCCAGUAAAGCGGCGCACGGGUGAGUAACACGUAGGUCAUCUUCCCCUGAAUGGUGGAUAACUCUCCGAAAGGAAAGCUAAUACAGCAUAAGACCACGACCUCGCUGAGGUUGCGGCCAAAGCAGACCUCUUCAUGAAAGUUUGCGUUUAGGGAUGAGCCUGCGGCCCAUCAGCUAGUUGGUAGGGUAAUGGCCUACCAAGGCGAAGACGGGUAGCUGGUCUGAGAGGAUGAACAGCCACACUGGAACUGAGACACGGUCCAGACUCCUACGGGAGGCAGCAGUGGGGAAUCUUGCGCAAUGGGCGAAAGCCUGACGCAGCGACGCCGCGUGAGCGAUGAAGGCCUUCGGGUUGUAAAGCUCUGUGGGGAGGGAAGAAUAAGUCUUGGCUAAUAUCCAAGAUGAUGACGGUACCUCCUUAGCAAGCACCGGCUAACUCUGUGCCAGCAGCCGCAGUAAGACAGAGGGUGCAAACGUUGUUCGGAAUUACUGGGCGUAAAGCGCGUGUAGGCGGCCAUCUAAGUCGGGCGUGAAAUCCCACGGCUCAACCGUGGAAGUGCACUCGAAACUGGAUGGCUAGAGUCCUGGAGAGGAAGGUGGAAUGCUUGGUGUAGAGGUGAAAUUCGUAGAUAUCAAGCGGAACACCGGUGGCGAAGGCGGCCUUCUGGACAGUGACUGACGCUGAGACGCGAAAGCGUGGGGAGCAAACAGGAUUAGAUACCCUGGUAGUCCACGCCGUAAACGAUGAGUGCUAGGUGUCACGGGCUUUGACCCUCGUGGUGCCGAAGCUAACGCGUUAAGCACUCCGCCUGGGGAGUACGGCCGCAAGGCUAAAACUCAAAAGAAUUGACGGGGGCCCGCACAAGCGGUGGA
This 898-nucleotide ribosomal RNA is filed under the name uncultured delta proteobacterium. RNAcentral's name for it is "bacterial SSU rRNA". It matches the Rfam family "Bacterial small subunit ribosomal RNA", at positions 58 to 936 of the family's 1533-position model. The record is from RNAcentral. Lineage: Bacteria; Deltaproteobacteria.